This 107-nucleotide small nuclear RNA is filed under the name Jaculus jaculus (lesser Egyptian jerboa). Lineage: Eukaryota; Metazoa; Chordata; Mammalia; Rodentia; Dipodidae. The record is from RNAcentral.
GUGCUGGCUUCGGCAGCACAUAUACUAAAAUUGGAACGAUACAGAGAAGAUUAGCAUGGCCCCUGCACAAGGAUGACAUGCAAAUUCGUGAAGCAUUCCAUAUUUAA